This 253-nucleotide ribosomal RNA is filed under the name uncultured bacterium. Its description in RNAcentral is "partial 16S ribosomal RNA". It matches the Rfam family "Bacterial small subunit ribosomal RNA", at positions 524 to 776 of the family's 1533-position model. The record is from RNAcentral.
UACGUAGGGCGCAAGCGUUAUCCGGAAUUAUUGGGCGUAAAGAGCUUGUAGGCGGUUUGUCGCGUCUGCUGUGAAAUUUCGGGGCUCAACCCCGAACUUGCAGUGGGUACGGGCAGACUAGAGUGUGGUAGGGGAGACUGGAAUUCCUGGUGUAGCGGUGAAAUGCGCAGAUAUCAGGAGGAACACCGAUCGCGAAGGCAGGUCUCUGGGCCACUACUGACGCUGAGAAGCGAAAGCAUGGGGAGCGAACAGG